UGGACUCUAGACAAGCAUUACAGUGAA
This 27-nucleotide non-coding RNA is filed under the name Mus musculus (house mouse). The record is from RNAcentral. Lineage: Eukaryota; Metazoa; Chordata; Mammalia; Rodentia; Muridae.